UACGUAGGCAGCAAGCGUUGUUCGGAAUUACUGGGCGUAAAGGGCGCGUAGGCGGUUCGUUAAGUCCUGUGUGAAAUCCCCCGGCUCAACUGGGGAACUGCACAGGAAACUAGCGGGCUUGAGUUCGGGAGAGGGAAGCGGAAUUCCGGGUGUAGCGGUGAAAUGCGUAGAUAUCCGGAGGAACACCGGUGGCGAAGGCGGCUUCCUGGACCGACACUGACGCUGAGGCGCGAAAGCUAGGGGAGCAAACGGG
This 253-nucleotide ribosomal RNA is filed under the name uncultured bacterium. RNAcentral's name for it is "partial 16S ribosomal RNA". It matches the Rfam family "Bacterial small subunit ribosomal RNA", at positions 524 to 776 of the family's 1533-position model. The record is from RNAcentral.